UCGGCGACGCCAACUGUGAACCGCCCACGUUGCCUAUUUCGGUUGAGUUUUGAGUGUUACGCAAGCAGGAUAACUUCGGUCGCGAUAAGAUUCAAAAGUAGAAAAACCCGUCCUCGGACACCUUCGAACUUCACGUCUUGUACUCGACCGGAACUUACUGACUUCUGGUCUACGUGAUGUUAAUGACGGAAUAUCACGUAAAUUGGUGACAUACGAGACGAUCUCGGACCACGACGACAGUACGAAUUUAUCUGCAGAAGGACAGACGGUGAAUGGAGCUCGUUAGCUAUCUGCAGAAAAGCAUUUCAUGGGAUUUAUAAAAGCGUCGCAUUGCACAUUCCUGAGAACCAGGUAUUUCGCUGGAGCUUUGAAGCCCGAGGAUGGCGUGACCGUUAAUCAAGGGACUUUAAUUAGCCGACCCAAAACUCUACGGAGAAGUAACCAGAUGAACUCACUGAACAUUCCAAAGAACUAGCAAACGUCUGUAAUACCAGCUCGUAGAAGAAAAUUUUGUUCCAACGCCGAAGUUCGUGAAUUUUCUUCCCUAUUUCCUGGUUUUUCUACAGUUUCAAGUGACGGUUUUGUCGAGAAAUUUGAAAUGAAUCGCAGCGUCGAAUUAAGGGUGUUGGGUUCACGCACCUGUGCUUUCGCAACAUUUCUCGCUGCUUGUUCUCGUUGCUUCCUUCAACCUCGACGAAGACCACGGCGCCGACGACGCUGUAGAGGAAGACUAUAAGGAACAGGAAAAUGUGGGUGAACCAUCUUUUACUCCAGGAGCUGACCUGCGAACGUGACACGAAAUUCGAUGAAGCUACAAACGGAGCAUUGAGGAGAAAUUUCAAGAGGGAUAAGUAGUAAUCUUCGUCAUAAGGAGUCUUCGACUAAUUUACCUUCUCGUAAAGCCAGAAGGCGCUUUUUUCGCCAACGCUGAGCCCCGACUUUGUCCAAUCCUUGAUACCUUUGAACUGAGUGAACAUAAACUCGCUGGCUUUA
RNAcentral lists this long non-coding RNA (993 nucleotides) under Neodiprion lecontei (redheaded pine sawfly). Its description in RNAcentral is "uncharacterized LOC124293288, transcript variant X2". The record is from RNAcentral. Lineage: Eukaryota; Metazoa; Arthropoda; Insecta; Hymenoptera; Diprionidae.